RNAcentral lists this ribosomal RNA (440 nucleotides) under uncultured bacterium. RNAcentral's name for it is "partial 16S ribosomal RNA". It matches the Rfam family "Bacterial small subunit ribosomal RNA", at positions 338 to 795 of the family's 1533-position model. The record is from RNAcentral.
CCUACGGGUGGCAGCAGUGGGGGAUAUUGGACAAUGGGGGAAACCCUGAUCCAGCGAUGCCGCGUGAGGGAAGAAGGUUUUCUGAUUGUAAACCUCUGUGGAGGGGGACGAAAAUGACGGUACCUGUUUAGGAAGCCACGGCUAACUCCGUGCCAGCAGCCGCGGUAAUACGGAGGUGGCGAGCGUUGUCCGGAUUUACUGGGUGUAAAGGGAGUGUAGGCGGGGAAGCAAGUCAGAAGUGAAAACUAUGGGCUUAACCCAGGGCCUGCAUUUGAAACUGUUGGUCUGGAGUGAAGUAGAGGCAAGCGGAAUGCCUAGUGUAGCGGUGAAAGGCGUAGAUAUUAGGAGGAACACCAGUGGCGAAGGCGGCUUACUGGACUUUGACUGACGCUGAGGCACGAAAGCGUGGGGAGCAAACAGGAUUAGAUACCCUAGUAGUC